Molecule: ribosomal RNA, 450 nt
Filed under: uncultured bacterium
Lineage: Bacteria
Description: bacterial SSU rRNA
Rfam family: Bacterial small subunit ribosomal RNA
Source: RNAcentral
GUGGGGAAUAUUGGACAAUGGGCGAAAGCCUGAUCCAGCCAUGCCGCGUGUGUGAAGAAGGUCUUCGGAUUGUAAAGCACUUUAAGUUGGGAGGAAGGGCAUUAACCUAAUACGUUAGUGUUUUGACGUUACCGACAGAAUAAGCACCGGCUAACUUCGUGCCAGCAGCCGCGGUAAUACGAAGGGUGCAAGCGUUAAUCGGAAUUACUGGGCGUAAAGCGCGCGUAGGUGGUUCGUUAAGUUGGAUGUGAAAGCCCCGGGGUCAACCUGGGAACUGCAUCCAAAACUGGCGAGCUAGAGUACGGUAGAGGGUGGUGGAAUUUCCUGUGUAGCGGUGAAAUGCGUAGAUAUAGGAAGGAACACCAGUGGCGAAGGCGACCACCUGGACUGAUACUGACACUGAGGUGCGAAAGCGUGGGGAGCAAACAGGAUUAGAUACCCUAGUAGUCC